AUUAACGAAUAUUUGAAAUUAGUUGUAAACGUAACACCAAUCGUGACAUUAUAAUGAAAUCGACGAAAAUUUUGUUUGCUUUUCUCGUAAUUUUUGUUAUCUUGCAUGGUGUUACCUGUCUCAGUAAGGGCGACAUUACUGCUGAAUCAGUGUUAAUUUUCCACAAGUUUUACAAUGGUACAGGUGAUAUAACAGAAAUAAUCAUUACGGAAGAAGAUAUUAGUGCAAUAAGAGCCGUAGAUGUGAGCGGUCAAAACGGAGAUGCUGUUAUUUCAUCAUAUAGUGCCCGUAACAUAGUGUUAGUUUUCUUCGCUGAGGAUGUCGACAAAGGGUUCAACAUUAGUCUGGAACUUUAUACUAGUAGAAAAAUGGAUGCAGGUAGUUCUGCGGCAAGAAGUUUUUCAGUGUUUUCAACAGUAAUUUCAUUGAUAUUUGUGUUAAGUGUGCUUUAGAAGAAUAUAAUUCUCUAAAUUUGUACAAAUUCAAAA
Molecule: long non-coding RNA, 488 nt
Organism: Bradysia coprophila
Lineage: Eukaryota; Metazoa; Arthropoda; Insecta; Diptera; Sciaridae
Source: RefSeq, a predicted model, not a curated record